AAAUGAUUCUGACGUUGACCUAACUGAUAUCCUCUCCUCCAGGGAAGCUCCCUGGGAGCAGGACUCGCCCAACCAGUGCUCCAUGCCACGCUGCUUGGAGGCUCUGGGGGACACGACGCCCUCAGCAGUGCCUGAGGCAAAAAUGAAACCUGAGGUUGAAGCAUUGAAAAAAACAGAGUGCAGUGGUGGAGAGCUUAUGCAAAACCUGAGCAAUGUAUUUUCUAUCAACAUGCAGUCUGGCAAGAGAAAGGACUCCUCUGCAGGAUAUGAAAGAGAGCCCAGCCAGACUCAUUUCAUCU
RNAcentral lists this long non-coding RNA (299 nucleotides) under Struthio camelus australis. RNAcentral's name for it is "lncRNA (ENSSCUG00000016985.1)". The record is from RNAcentral. Lineage: Eukaryota; Metazoa; Chordata; Aves; Struthioniformes; Struthionidae.